RNAcentral lists this ribosomal RNA (445 nucleotides) under uncultured bacterium. RNAcentral's name for it is "SSU rRNA". It matches the Rfam family "Bacterial small subunit ribosomal RNA", at positions 26 to 518 of the family's 1533-position model. The record is from RNAcentral.
AGAGCGAACGCUGGCGGCAGGCCUAAUACAUGCAAGUCGAACGCACCUUCGGGUGAGUGGCGGACGGGUGAGUAACACGUGGGAACGUGCCUUUUGGUUCGGAAUAAUCCGGGGAAACCUGGCCUAAUACCGGAUGUGCCCUUCGGGGGAAAGAUUUAUCGCCAUUAGAGCGGCCCGCGUCUGAUUAGCUUGUUGGUGGGGUAAUGGCCCACCAAGGCUACGAUCAGUAGCUGGUCUGAGAGGAUGAUCAGCCACACUGGGACUGAGACACGGCCCAGACUCCUACGGGAGGCAGCAGUAGGGAAUCUUGCGCAAUGGGCGAAAGCCUGACGCAGCAACGCCGCGUGAGGGAUGAAGGUCUUCGGGUUGUAAACCUCUUUCGAGCAGGGACGAUUGUGACGGUACCUGCAGAAGAAGCUCCGGCCAACUACGUGCCAGCAGCCGC